Myotis lucifugus (little brown bat) is the source of this 511-nucleotide long non-coding RNA. RefSeq lists it as uncharacterized. Lineage: Eukaryota; Metazoa; Chordata; Mammalia; Chiroptera; Vespertilionidae. The transcript has 3 exons. The record is from RefSeq and is a predicted model, not a curated record.
CUACCGGAAAGGCGGAAGAGGGCAGAACUGGGGAGUCACAGGAGGCUCAGUGUCCUGCUCCUAGGAAGAAAAAGCGCUGGAGCCGAGCCAGAGCCUUCCUCAAGUUCUUCCAACGCCAGAGAGACGGCUCACGAGGACAAGCCAAGUCACCCCCAGACAGCCUUCCUGGGCCCCUGGAGGCCAUGCCAUCGUGCUCAUACUGGGAGGAGGAGGGAGACGCCCGCAGGGGGCCCCCACCAAAAGCAAAGGGGCAACGAAAGAGUGCCUUUUGGAGCAGGAAGAAGCAGGACAAAGUCAAAGACCAGCCUCCAGUGGCCAGCUCCGCUUGGUCUAAGAUUCUCAAAUCCUGCACAUCUGGGCACAUCCCACCCUCUCCUCCCUAAAUAGCCUCUCCCUUUUUUCCCCACCCCGAAGAUUUAUAAUCCUUUCCCUUUAUCCCUGUCUUGAUCAUAUACCCUUUAUUUCUGAAAAUUUAAAAAAAAAAAGUUUAAAAGAAGAAGAAAAAAAAAAU